UACGAGGGGUGCGAGCGUUGCUCGGAAUUAUUGGGCGUAAAGGGUAUGUAGGUGGUUUCGUUUGUCUGGGGUGAAAGCCUUGAGCUUAACUCAAGAAGUGCCCCGGAAACGGCGAAACUCGAGUACUGGAGAGGGUCGUGGAAUUCCCGGUGUAGCGGUGAAAUGCGUAGAGAUCGGGAGGAACACCAGAGGCGAAGGCGGCGACCUGGACAGUUACUGACACUCAACUACGAAAGCGUGGGGAGCAAACAGG
This 253-nucleotide ribosomal RNA is filed under the name uncultured bacterium. RNAcentral's name for it is "partial 16S ribosomal RNA". It matches the Rfam family "Bacterial small subunit ribosomal RNA", at positions 524 to 776 of the family's 1533-position model. The record is from RNAcentral.